GACAAUUAAGUCAUUUCCCAUAAGCCCCUACAGAUUUCAUAUACGUGGCUGGGUUUGUGUACGCAAAACUACACGUUUAAUUUUUAUAUGAUUUCACCUGUAUUUUAAUUUUUAAGAUAACACGUUUGGUUUUCCAUUAAUUUCUUUCACAUUACUUCUCAUGUUCCUCUUCUCGCUCAAAUUGCAGGUAUGUUUCACUUUCAAUCAAUUUUUCCUAUAUCUUUUUUCUUUUUUUCCUUUUGUUCUUUCUUCACUCUGGGGUUUUCUAGAUCUGCUAUUUGGUUUUGGAUUUUGUUGUACUUAUGAAUUGUGUUGAGUUUCUCUGCACUCUGUUCUUGGUUUACCCAUUUCUUCGUGAUGAUACGUUGGCAGAUAUGUGUUGGUUUCCUUCAAAUAAGAAUUUGAUAAAGAACAAACAGUCUAUGUAUUAAUCUUUUUGUUUCUAUUAAUUUGCGCCUUUCUCCCAUUUUUUCAGUUGCGCCUCCCUAUUUAUGAUGCUUUUGUUGUUUUGUUUAUUUCAUCAUAAAUAGUUUUCUUCUCAUUCUUUCGCUCAAGUGCUUUGUUAUUUUAGUUUUUUUUUUGAGUUUUCAUGUGGUACUUAAUUCUUGGAUUGUAGUUGCAGUUAUCUGAUAGUGUUGGUGAUUUAUUAUCUUCCAGUUUCCUACUUCUCCUUUUUGACUAUCCGAACGAAGCAAAGGUUCAGAGUGAUUCGUGUAGGGUGUAAGCAGGGUUGGAGUUUCCAGACCGCUGAUUGGCGAUUUUGAGGUACCACCCUUUUAAUUAUAGUAAUGGAUGGAAGUUUACACGGGCUAAUACUGAGAUGUGGUUUGACUGUGGUUUGGAGUUUCCUUUUGUAGUCUUAAAUUUUAGUUCUUCCUCUUCUAUUUUCUUCAAUAUCGCUCCCAAUAUAAAUUCAUUGGUUCCAAGCCACCGUUAAAUGAGUAAACUUUUGAAUUACUGUAAUCAUUGGUAGAUGAAAAAACUGAGCCGUGUAAUAUGAUAAAAGAUUGCUUACUUAUAGAUAACUGAGUGUAGUUAACUUAGAUAUGUUUGGUGUCAAUUAUCUAGAAAUACCAGCGUUACUUAAAUUCCUUCUUCAUCUCAAAACAGAAUCAAAUGCACAAUAUUGUAUGAGAAAAGUAGUUAAAUAAUUGAUUAGAAAAGAUAUUCAUAUGCUAUUUUUGUAAGAACAUAUAUUUAUACUUCACGACGUGUAACUUCAACGUGAAAUCCUAGGAACUCAACUUAGGAAACAUUUUUUGCAAGAUGGUAUAGCUUGCAAGAGACAAGAUUACAACGAAGAUAAUAUGCUUAGAUCGGCUGUGAUGAAACAACCUCCAUGUCAUUGGACUGUUCUGCAAAGUUGAAAAUUUAUUUGGCCUACUUGAUAUUUACAAUAACUUGAAAUAUACUUUGAAAACUAUUUGGUCACUUACCUCGAAGACUUCAAAAUCCUACUGUUUGUUCCUUACUCAUCACUUUGGAGCUGUCUUACUGCUACCUUCAGUAUCUGCUAGCUUUCUUCACUUCUUUGCCAUGAUCACUUCUAUUACACUUUUUGACCUUUGUUAAUUUAAGUAGUCUCUUCAAUAAAUGAGCUCUCUUUGUUAAACAGACACAAUUGUAACUUCAUGUGCAAAGAAGUGAAGAAAGCUAUUAAAGAUAUGCAAUUUAAAGAUGAAAUCUGCAAUAAAGUUUUAAGCGUACCGUUUCAUUUUGAAUUUUUAGCUGUCUCAUCUAUGACGUCUAAUAUUUUAUCUUAUUAUAAAAUCUACAAGAAGUAUAUUACAAAGGCAAGUCUGUACUUUGUCUACUUUUAUAUGAACAUGACAAGAGGGGUUGCUCUGAUGGUAAGCAACCUCCACUUCCAACCAAGAGGUUGUGAGUUCGAGUCUCCCAAGAGCAAGGUGGGAAGUUCUUGGAGGAAAGGAUGCUGGGUCUAUUUGGAAACAGCAUCUCUACCCCAGGGUACCCAAGGGUAGGGGUAAGGUCUGCAUACACACUACCCUUUUCAGACCCCAUUAAAUGAGAUUAUAAUAGGUUGUUAUUGAUAAAUGGUCAUUACUUUGUAUUUGUGCAGGUGUUUUUUCAAGGACGGAUAAGAAGAAAAAACACUACGCUUGGGAGAUGCAUCACUUUUUGUGUGUAUAUAAUAUAUAUGAGUGGAUAUUUUUUCAAAACUGUAUGUCAAUUAGCAUGAUGAUGUUGGGCCCGUGAGCGAGCCAUCAGUUCCUAGUAAAACUUAAAAUUGAAAGAAAUUGAUGAUAAUAUAAAACUUAAAAUCGACAAAUAUUUAUGUACACUGAACUUUCUAUAUUUAAAGAAAAAUUCACUUUAUUUAACACAUUAUUCAACUUGCUUUCUAGCACACCUAUCAUUCAACUAACAAUGCAUGAAACGCCAAUAUGGCUUAACUAAGAGAUUGUAGUGUCUCAUCCUCAAGUCUAUUAUUCUAAUUGCUAAUAUCACAAAUAAUUCCAGCUUUUUAUAGAUACACAAUACAACUACCCUCUACUAGUCACUGCUAUUUGAAAUGUGCCUGAAACUACCAUGAUUACUGGCUUGAAGCUCCGGCCACAUAAGAGUAAUAAUAUUCAAGAUAUAUGACACAGCAAAAUUUCAGAACUGCCCCAAGCUACCCUUGUUCGUUUUUUUUUCCUUUCGGAAAUAACAGUGGUUUCUAGGCCAGCUUUUGCAUUUUGACAAUUUCACCGGGUACCUUUAACUCCCAACAGCAUAGAUACCGAAUUACUCUGCUCACGAAGGCUUGCACUGCUCCAUGCUAUUAUUCACCGACCAUAAACUUCAGCUCUAUAUUGAAGAGAAACGGAAAGAAACAUGUACUAGAAUGCUAUAGUAUUCAGCUAAUUACACAGCUUAAGUAUUCACAUUUUUACACUUCAGUACUGAAUGCCAAAGCACCAUCAAUAUAUAGAUAAUAAGGCUAAUGUUGCUCAAAGAAUGAAAGCAUAGAUCAC
RNAcentral lists this long non-coding RNA (2978 nucleotides) under Nicotiana benthamiana. RNAcentral describes it as "long non-coding RNA (NBEN_LNC029707)". Lineage: Eukaryota; Viridiplantae; Streptophyta; Magnoliopsida; Solanales; Solanaceae. The record is from RNAcentral.